AACGCGAAGAACCUUACCUGGCCUUGACAUCCCGAUGACCGGCGUGUAAUGACGCCUUUUCUUCGGAACAUUGGAGACAGGUGGUGCAUGGUUGUCGUCAGCUCGUGUCGUGAGAUGUUGGGUUAAGUCCCGCAACGAGCGCAACCCUUAUCUUCAGUAGCCAGCAAUUCGGUUGGGCACUCUGGAGAGACUGCCAGGGAGAACCUGGAGGAAGGUGGGGAUGACGUCAAAUCAUCAUGCCCCUUAUGGCCAGGGCUACACACGUGCUACAAUGGCGUAAACAAAGGGAAGCGAGCAUGUGAGUGUGAGCAAAUCUCAAAAAUAACGUCUCAGUUCGGAUUGUAGUCUGCAACUCGACUACAUGAAGCUGGAAUCGCUAGUAAUCGCGGAUCAGCAUGCCGCGGUGAAUACGUUCCCGGGUCUUGUACACACC
Molecule: ribosomal RNA, 433 nt
Filed under: uncultured bacterium
Lineage: Bacteria
Description: bacterial SSU rRNA
Rfam family: Bacterial small subunit ribosomal RNA
Source: RNAcentral